GUUCUUGUAGUUGAAUAACAACGGUGGUUCUUCAAGCCACUGGUCUUAGUUAAAAUCUAAGCAGGAACU
RNAcentral lists this transfer RNA (69 nucleotides) under Puntigrus tetrazona (Sumatra barb). RNAcentral describes it as "tRNA-Glu". It matches the Rfam family "tRNA". From Rfam's summary of the family: Transfer RNA (tRNA) molecules are approximately 80 nucleotides in length. Their secondary structure includes four short double-helical elements and three loops (D, anti-codon, and T loops). Lineage: Eukaryota; Metazoa; Chordata; Actinopteri; Cypriniformes; Cyprinidae. The record is from RNAcentral.